This 6961-nucleotide long non-coding RNA is filed under the name Triticum aestivum (bread wheat). Its description in RNAcentral is "long non-coding RNA (TAES_LNC017374)". The record is from RNAcentral. Lineage: Eukaryota; Viridiplantae; Streptophyta; Magnoliopsida; Poales; Poaceae.
GAUUACGUUUAUUAGAAUCCCACUUUGUUCCAUCUCAAUAACAGACAGCAGGAUGCUCUCAAUUUUUUUCCUGUUUUCUUCUGCAAAACCUGUAACACCAAAUGUUAGCCUGACAUUUAUUUCGGUUCGCCAAGGUCUCUGCACACCAUCGGAGUCCUUUUGCUGUUGAAAUGCUCUGCUUUUCUGUGGUACUGUGGCCUCAGUGAACCGAAUGAACUACAAAUGCUUCAAUUGUUUGAAACAAAAAUUGAAUUUAUGUACUGUGCAAUUGUCCUCUGCUUUUCAGUUGGGCUGUUUGAAAUACUCUGCUUUUCAGUUGUGUUGCAGCCUUGUCUUUGGUAAAGAAUGAGCUAUACAUGCUUUGCUUGUUUGAAACAAAAAUUGAAUUUGUGUGCGAGUCUCUGACUGCAAUGCCCUUAAAUAUGUGAUAUGAGCUGUGAUGAAUGAAUACUUUGCUACUCUGAAAGUCUGAAUUAUACAUGGUUAUGUGACAUUGUGACUGGGUACUCGAAAGUGCAUCUGUGAGACUCUGAAUGCGUCUGAACUGUAAAAAAUUGUGAAGAUCCGUCACAACUUUGAAAGCAAAAUUGGCACUUCCCGGAAAUCAUUGUGCCCCUCGUGGAAAUCAUUGUUUCUCAUCCGUCAAGUCCUUUGCUAACUAUUGAGCGAUUAUCUACGAUAGGGCUGCUCGUUGAAGAGGUGAAGGAGAUGCUUAAAACUCAUUAGGUAUUUAGGGUUCAGUGGGUGCGGCGUUUGGUUAAUGGCGCAGCACAUAUUUUAGUUAAGGAAGGUUGCCCGAAUGGUUUCAUAUCCUUCAGGAUUGUAUUGCGAACAUUGCAGCUUCGGAACUGCCCGAGCAUUCUGAAUAAAUAGCAACACUACCAACAUAAAUAAACAAUUCAUUUUGUUCACUGUUGAGUGAUUAUUGCGAGCAUCAUUUGGUGUUUAAUGCAAAAAUAAAUAGAAGCUGUAUACCUUGUCACGGAGAUUACAAGUGGACGAAUGUAAAGUGAAAAUAGCUUAUAAGAACACACUUUUUCUCGUUGAGCAGGGAAUGGCCACAGAAAUGAUCAACACGCUCAGACUUGAUUUUCAGAGUGAAAACCAUGAUCUAGCCUUUAGUCGCUGCUUCGGACUGCUGCUUUUGUGUUCUCCUGCUUCUAUCUCCUCACCACGGCGAUUUCUGGGGAAAUGCUGCUUUGCCUGAAAUUAGUUUUCAUCAGCAUUUACCCAAUGCAGUACUUGACUCGUUCCAUGACACUCUUUUCUUUGCAGUGUCCUUUUCUGGCAUUACUAACAACCAUUUAACUUGUUUCAGAUGGGAAGGAGUGUUGAUGAAUUCUUUCCUGUUUAAUGUAGGACUGAUCCUACUCUGCUCCAUCAGGUAUGUUGCCAAGGUCUUAUUUUAGAAGUCCAUGUGUUAUUGUAAGUUCCCAUGACAUGUUUGAAGGCUGUAACUUUACAAGAAUUAAGGUAGUGGAGACAUGUGACAGAUCUAAAGAAUUAGGACUGGAGUUUCUGUUAUUAGUCAAGUAAUAGUGCAACACUUGGAAGUGCACACCCUGAAGGAUUUGGUGAGGGCCUAUGUUUUUUUUUUUACAUUAGAUGAAUAAUGGCCUCUGCAUGAAUUGAAUGUGAAUUGAUUAUUUUUUAAGAAGUCCUCUCUAUUGAAUUUCCACGCUUGUGUAUUAUGCAAUGUGAUUCAGUUAAGCACGACAGCUUUUGCGCACUACGCACAAGCAACUGCAGCUCAGGAGAUCUUUGGCCACACGCUGCAGUCUCUUUGCGGAAUUAAGUAUCUUUACAAGUAAGUCUUGAACUAGCAUGAAGUCCGUAGAACUAUCAACCUGCAGUUGAUGAUUCAAUAGCUCAAUCUAUAUCGUUGUAGACACUAGAAUCUCAGAGUUAUGUAUACAUACUGCUAUUGAACAUCUGAAUAUUCAGGUACAAUGUUUUUCAGUAUGGAUUUUUUGCUCUUCCCAUCCUCACACUCUUCUACUAUGCACUUUUUGUAAGUCACUUCCUCGGAAGUACUUAGCUCACCAAAUUCUGUAAAAGUUGAGCUUAUUUUGAUCAUCACAAUCUUUGUCCAGUGGUGUCGAAAGAGGAAACCGACAGGAAGGUUCCAGCUCUCAAACUAAUUUUCUGUUUGCUCUGUAAGCAAAGCCUGACGAACUCAAUAUCAUAUUUGUUCUUGAGUGAUAGUUUGGUUAGCGAUGUAUAUGAUCUUGCAAACCACUUUAUGGAAGAGCUGGAGAGUUUUCAUCAGUGUAAAUUAGCGACAACGUCAUGGAAGAUGAAAACAACCACGGGCACGGACGUUAAAGUAGGAGAACCCAGUUUCCUUUGUAAUUAAGUACACAUUUGUCGCCUGUUCUUUUCUGUAUUAUUAUUUGAUGAUCAUCAAUCGGCUGAUGUUAUUCUUCAAGUUGAUGGGUCUGUGAGAGGUGUUCUGUGUGCUCCUUUGUUGUUCCUUUGCGGUUCUGACUCAAAUUAGUUCAGUUAUUUUCUUUUGUAUGUAGCAUUCUGUGACUACCACGCACACUUGUAGAUUGUAUCAAGGAUGGCUUGUCUUGAUCUUUCUAUUGUUGUUUGUAUGUCUUUCUGGAAAUUGCACUUUGCUUUUCAAUUGAGAACUUUGCACGUGCUGAUCGAAAAUUCGUUUCUGAGCUUGGGCUCAGAUGCUCCCGAAAUCAGCAACGUUGGUUUGCAUGUAGAUCUGUGCCAGGCGUGGUAUUUUCUGCCGGUAUUUCCAUCGUACGUUGAGAAAAACAGGCAAGCUCUGAGCAGCAUUGAAUGCGAUGGCAGAGCGUACCGUAGAUGCGGACCAGCCUAGUGAACGCACGGACCAGCCAUUCUCCUGUGCCGCGGGCUGAGCCGUCUCCGUCGACGGAAAUCGUUAACGGACACCCUUCCAGACCAUCAUUAUUGUAAACCCAGCAGGGUUGGUGGGGCAACCCUAGAACAGAUUUUGCCCAUCGCCACCGCUCCAUUCCCUUUCUAGUCCCGCCGCCAUGUCCGUUCUAGCUGACUUCCUCCUCCCUCUCAUCUCUUGUCCAUUUGUGGUGACGAGCUCGAGACGAACGUUGCGGCGGGACCAGAGACUAGUCGGGCGUCGAUUCUACAAGUACAUCAUCCUUCUGUAUGAUGUCUCAUGUAUCUCCAAACAGAAGUUCUGUCCGUCUUGAAUGUCUGCACGUUGCUUUGAUCAUAUUCAGCUAGGUUCAGCAUUCAUGCAACGGAUCUAUAGUAAAUUCCUUAGCGGUCCUCUAACUGCAUCGUACGGUGUCACACUUGGCAUCAAAAGGUACUAGUUGUCAUCAAAAUCUUGUUCCAAAACCACUCCCCUUAGUGAUUUACACUUUCCAAAUUCAGGCAUAAACCUGUCCCAGAUUUGCUAUAUAUAUAUAUGAAACUACAGGCUGAAAACACUAAAAAACAAAAAAUAAAUCGACAAUCCAGAUAUAAUACAAGAUUCAUGCUGCUCUAGUACGCCUUAACCGCAUUUGCUGCAAUGAAAGACAGCCAUAUCUGUCAUCCAAACAGAUUUUCAGUGUCAAAGUCAUACAUGGAUUAUGUCUGCUUCCGACACAGCUACUCAAUUCUGGUAUGUAAAUCACGGGAUCAAAUAACCACUAGUACCAAUAGCAUUGCACAUUCUGAGAGAUGAACAUACAUCCACAUAUCAUAUCAGCGCUUACAUUUACUUAAACUGCUUAAGAAUCCAUCUAAAAAUGCAGUACAUGUCCAUAGUUUUUCAUCUACAAGGUGGCAGGUGUUUGUGCUGCAAAAUGCCCCAGCAACUAAAUCGGGACAAUUCAACCAAAAGAUCUUGCCGGGCUGCACGUAGAGUGAACGAAUACUUCAUUACUUUAGUCAAGGAUCUCCUCGUACAGGAACUCUGGGAUGCAUCCCUUAUUCCCCUUCAUCGUCACUAUCUCACAUGCAAUCUUCUUGCGGAGGUGCUCGAUCUGCUCCUGUGAGAAACAAAAAAUGCAGAAAACUGCUCAAUGCAUAGUCAAUGGGGCAUAUUUAGACUCUGUACACAACUAAAAGUUUUUCCCAGUUUGAUACCUGGUUCAUAUUCGAUCUCAGGUAAAGGCCAGUGAACUCCAGUAUGUAGUGCACGACAUACACCACACCGUCUUCCCUGCGUGCAGAGUACAUGGGUUUUUAGGGUUGCUGCAGCCAACUGGAUUUAGCCUUCAUCUAUGUAUGCUCAAUGUAGGAUCACUAACCUGGUGCAUGGCUCGUGUUGUGCAACCAACGAGUACACAAAUGACCAUCCAGUCGUCUCGACCAAGCCUGCUCCAAACUUGUCAUUAAAAAGGUUGUAAAACCUACGCUGGAACUUCCUCGCUAGCGCCUCAUGCUUCCUCUUCAUCUCAUCUGAUGGAUCUGUCUCUGUUGGAUCAAGCACCAUUACAAUCUUCUUCUCAGUGUCGAGAAUGUACAAGGACCAGCAAUCCAUGAACAUCACAGGGAACAUGAACUGAAAAUCGGUUUGAAAAAUUCGGUUAGAAACCAGACUGAACGAAGCAUGCAGUUCAUUACUUCUUCACUUACUGGUUUAAUCCCAGUUUAUUUCGUCGUCUUCCUUACAAAGUUCAUCCUGCAUUCAAUCCAAACACACCAGACUCGGGUUCAUAUGCAGUGGAGACAACACACAACAGAAGGAAUCAUCAAGCGAGUCAUAUAUACCACAAAAACAGGAUAAAAAUCUCUCUCCAUCUGUCAAGCCAUCCGCGGUACAUUUUCUUCUCUUUCUCACUGGGCAUCCGUUGAAUGCACACAAAUUCAGUGUUAACUCACCCCCAGGAGUGAGCUCAUCCAUCAAGUCCUGUCCGGAUGCCACUGCCAGCAGUGGAUGGAAGUGCUUGAACCAUUUCUUGCAGGAUAACAACAUUUAAUUUUUGCAAUGAUCAACCAAAAAACAGUUUAAGCAUCCUAGAAGCACAUGGUGCCUUGUCUGGUGGUGCACUGCCGAGGCAUAGCGUGAAAAUUUGCAAACGUGCUAAUUCAGUACAGUAGUUCUCCCUACUAAUGCAAUAUCUAUGCAGGUACUGAUUUACGAACAAUUUACCCUAGUUCAGCUAACUAAUUGAAAUAUUCUUCAGGUAAAACAGUUUUCACAAAAAAUCUAUACGAAAAAUCCGGCUGAUUGGCAAGUAAGGGUUCGGCUGCUCUGUUUUGAUCUGUAAUAACAACAAACAAUAACUCAGCUUCUGGGAGCUACCAGCAAGUAAGAGUUCUAUGCUAGCCCAUACAUACCAGUCAAAAUUGUCGUAGGCGGUGAUCCACCCAACAUUCUCAGGACUCAGCAAAAACUCAUUCAAAACUUUCGGCACUCGCACCUGCAUGAUCAGCUAUUCUCUGCCUCAGGCUUUCCCUGGAAAAAAAAAUCAAAAAAAGUGAUGGCACAUCAGCUCACUCCAUGAUGCUGUUUUUUCAAACCAAAAUUGCACAAAAAAGAAACCCACAUUGUAUCUCGUACCACAGAACCUAGCGAACAACCGCACACUCUCUCCUGCAUCGACUUGGUUCUUUCUGCAUUCAGUCGGCUUUUUUUACUGAAUCUAACUUCCCAUGAAUAAAGACUGCAGAAGUCGUAUGCCUCGUUCAACGAAUCGGAACGUGUUCCUAAUUCUGGUUUAAUCACACUCCUCGUCGGUUCCUCAGCAAACUUCCGUAUCGCUUGCUCCAGUGCGCUCAUCCAUGAAGCGCACGAAUUUCUGUCCGGCGGUGCACUCCCUAGUCUUAACCUACAGCAAUAAUGCUUCGUCCAGUCAAUUAACACAAAACUGGUGUGCUGCAGACAGUAGCAUUUUCCCUGAAAAUUAUGAACUGGUUUCUCAAAACAUUUAAUCGACAGAGUCCUGAUAUGCAGCCUGGUUCAACGCAACGUUUCUCUUAUCUGAAAUUCUAAACACCUUACGACAUCUAACUACCUGAAACACGUCAAAACCAAAUACCUGCUCCCUUGAACUUAACUAUCUGUCGACAAAUGCGCUCAAAUUCAAUAUACAAUCAGACCACGGGGACAUGACGGCUCACCUUUUCGUCCAUCAUCCAGGUGCCUCCCGAUUAACCUUUCCGAUAGAUUGAGCUGACUUUGUUGGCGACGCGGCUCUUUUCCGCCGCGCCUCAGGGCGCAACCAAAUUCACCAUUUGAAUCAUACGGGCCAAGAGCGCCAGCCUCCCCCCGGGCAGCAGCCUUAGCGGCACCGGAUCCGGGUGCUCAAGGUUAUCGGCGAACUCUUCCCGAAUUGGGAUCCUGCGGGCGCCGGAGUUCAAGAAAAGGUCUGUGAAUCAAUAGAGGGGCGGCAGAAAAAAAGAGCUUACCUGACCACCAGAUCGAGCACGAACUCCAAGCCCUUCUCCUCCAUCCUGCCACGCCGCCGGCCGUCCUCGACGCCGCCCUCGUUCCCUCGAGAUCCAAGAGCAACCCUGCAAUGACGGGCCCAAGCCGGCGGGAUGACGGCUCUGGAUUUCCACGCUCCCUCGACUAACGACCUGUGCCAUGGCACAGCCCAUCCCAGUGACGGAGCCGUCCGCGGACCCACGCGCGACGACGGACGCCCAUACCGAAAAGGCCCACAUACGACACUGUGCACCGCGUAUUCGCUACCGUAUCUUCCUUUUCCACGGGCCUAAACUGCUGCACCAGCUGGACUUUCUCGCAUCCCAAUGGCUCAGCGGACGAUCUGGAUUUAGGGUGUAGCUGAGCCUGGGCACCAAAAUGCCCUGUCCCGUGCUGAUCGCGUCUCUGAUCACUAACUACUUCAGAAACUUUUCUGUCUUGACAACACAAUGUGUGAAAUAAUGAGUAGAAAAGAAAACUCUUGUCAAGAAAAUGAAAGAAGAAAACAUAAACUGCCAAGGCUGUUGGCCAGGCUUGUGUACCUGGGAUAAUCCCAAGCAAAGGAUAUAAGAAUCGUAACUAAAUUCACCCAAAAAAAAA